ACCACGAUAGCUCAGCUGGUAUAACAUCUACCCGGUAUGCAGAGGGUUGCCGGUUCGUUUCCGGCUCGAGGUG
This 73-nucleotide transfer RNA is filed under the name Fasciola hepatica (liver fluke). RNAcentral describes it as "tRNA-Thr". Lineage: Eukaryota; Metazoa; Platyhelminthes; Trematoda; Plagiorchiida; Fasciolidae. The record is from RNAcentral.